GACGAACGUUGGCGGCGUGCUUAAUACAUGCAAGUCAACUGAAGCAGUGGUAGUAAUACUACUGUGGAGGUGGCGCACGGGUGAGUAACGCGUAGGUAAUCUGCCUUUGGGUCUGACAUAACUCCGAGAAAUCGAAGCUAAUAUCAGAUGAUGCAGCGGCUUGACAUCAAGACAGUUGUUAAAGCUUCGGCGCCCAGAGAUGAGCCUGCGUCCCAUUAGGUAGUUGGCGGAGUAAUAGCCCACCAAGCCCACGAUGGGUAGCUGGUCUGA
RNAcentral lists this ribosomal RNA (270 nucleotides) under uncultured bacterium. RNAcentral describes it as "partial 16S ribosomal RNA". It matches the Rfam family "Bacterial small subunit ribosomal RNA", at positions 28 to 295 of the family's 1533-position model. The record is from RNAcentral.